This 253-nucleotide ribosomal RNA is filed under the name uncultured bacterium. RNAcentral describes it as "partial 16S ribosomal RNA". It matches the Rfam family "Bacterial small subunit ribosomal RNA", at positions 524 to 776 of the family's 1533-position model. The record is from RNAcentral.
UACGGGGGGGGCAAGCGUUGUUCGGAAUUACUGGGCGUAAAGGGCGCGUAGGCGGCCUUCUAAGUCAGACGUGAAAUCCCUCGGCUCAACCGAGGAACUGCGUCUGAUACUGGAAGGCUUGAAUCCGGGAGAGGGAUGUGGAAUUCCAGGUGUAGCGGUGAAAUGCGUAGAUAUCUGGAGGAACACCGGUGGCGAAGGCGGCAUCCUGGACCGGCAUUGACGCUGAUGAGCGAAAGCCAGGGGAGCAAACGGG